GGAUGUGAGGGUGAUCUGUCACCCCAUUGAUAGCCAGGGUUGAUUCGGCUAAUCUGGCUGGCUAGUCGGGUGUCCCCUUCCACCCUCACCGCUCCAUCUGCUUCCCUCCUGAAGCUGCGCACUGGGUCAAAGAGGACAGCCUUCCCCAAAUAGAGACAGACCAGUUGAGGACAUACGAGUAGCUGUGCUUCCCUGCUAGAACCUCCAAACAAUCUCUCAAGAAAAUUUGUUCUUUUCCUUCUGAGAGCUGUGAUCUUUCUUCUCACAGGAAGAUAAGUGUAGGUAGGUCACCUUAAUAGUAUCAAGACUUGAUUUUUGAAAUUUGU
Non-coding RNA from Erinaceus europaeus (western European hedgehog), 326 nucleotides. NCBI's taxonomy places the organism in Eukaryota, Metazoa, Chordata, Mammalia, Eulipotyphla, Erinaceidae. The record is from Rfam.